GGUUAAAAAGCUCGUAGUUGGAUCUCGGCGGGCAGGGGGUGGUUCGCUCUUCAGCGCUACUGCCCCGCUUUGCCCGUGUGAUUGGCGGAGGCUUCGGGGUGCUCUUCGUUGAGUGACUCGGAGCGCCGUCAGGUUUACUUUGAAAAAAUUAGAGUGCUCAAGGCAGGCUUUUCACGCUUGAAUAUUCGUGCAUGGAAUAAUGGAAUAGGAACUCGUUUCUAUUUUGUUGGUUUUCGGAAAUCGAGUUAAUGAUUAACAGGGACAAUUGGGGGCAUUAGUAUUCAGACGACAGAGGUGAAAUUCUUGGACCGUCUGAAGACUGACUACUGCGAAAGCAUUUGCCAAGAGUGUUUUCAUUAAUCAAGAAUGAAAGUUAGAGGUUCGAAGGCGAUCAGAUACCGCCCUAGUUCUAACCAUAAACGAUGCCAGCUAGCGAUCUGCCGAGUUUUUUUUGUAGGCUCCGCAGGAAGCUUUCGGGAAACCAAAGCUUUUGGGUUCCGGGGGAAGUAUGGUUGCAAAGCUGAAACUUAAAGGAAUUGACGGAAGGGCACCACCAGGAGUGGAGCCUGCGGCUUAAUUUGACUCAACACGGGAAAUCUCACCAGGCCCGGACACUGGAAGGAUUGACAGAUUGAGAGCUCUUUCUCGAUUCGGUGGGUGGUGGUGCAUGCCGU
This 674-nucleotide ribosomal RNA is filed under the name uncultured marine eukaryote. RNAcentral describes it as "SSU rRNA". It matches the Rfam family "Eukaryotic small subunit ribosomal RNA", at positions 617 to 1291 of the family's 1831-position model. The record is from RNAcentral.